AUUCUGCAGAUAUAACUUGAUGACCCUGGAUGCAAAGAGUUAACAGAGAUAUGGCAUGAACAUGUAUUAGAAAAAUGAUUCACACACAAUAGAAAAAAUAAGUAAGACCAGGAUUGGGUGGCUUUGGAGAAUGUAAUUUCAGCUUGAAUAUGAAGAUGCUUGUAGAACAGUGUUCCUUCCUCUGAACAUGGCUACAGAAGAACAAAUCAGUUAGUCUGAAGAUGAAAACAAGAAGCUGAUGGUAGACACAUUCUGAACUGGCUAACACAACACUCUGAAACUGGAGGAUAUCAACUGAUAAGAUAUGAAGUUCUCCCUUAGUUUCAAAUACACUGGGUUCAUAAAUUAUUGACAUAAACAAUAGAUGUCCCAUCAAGCUACCAUGAAGAUAGCUAGGUCUGCACAACUCCUCAAGUGUCGACCCCUCCAAGCACAUCCUCCACCUGGAACUGUGAACUGAAUGGAUAAAUGUGUUGGUCAGAAAGUGAACUUAAGUCACCUGACUGAGGUAGUGUUUGUCAGUUUUCUCUGUUGUAAAGUUAUUCUCGUGUUCUCCAUUUCCAUUUCCUUUUUUCCAUAUAGACUUCUCUUUGAAAGGAAGUCAAUAUGUGAAGCCCACACUGAAGGAGUGGGGAGUUAUGAUGCACCUCCCUGACAGCACAGUAUUUACACAAACUAUUUGGAAUACUUUUAUGUGGGAUGUUUGUCCCUUCCCUCCCAUUUAUUUAUGUAUUCAAUCAAUUGUUUAUUGAUAUCAAUUUGAACUCAUGGAUAUUUACUUUAUACUUCAGGUUAUAAUCCAAUACUACUCUACUUGUUUUGUUGCUCAAAUUUUUUCACCUUUGGCCACUGGGAGCACUUUCAGUUGACUCUUGUGUCCCUUUGACAUACUCCCAUCAUUGUGUGUGUGUGUGUGUGUUCUUCACACUUUCUUACUUUUUGACACAAUAAUGUACUCCAGGCUCAUGUUGUAUAUUUCCUGCCCCAGUUCUAGAGUCAACCAUUUCUCUAAGGAACACUGUUCCUUUUGUUAGAAUAGUAUUAAAAACCCAAAUCACAAUGAUAGGUGUGUUUUUUGCUACUGGAUAUCAUUGCUUCUAAGCCUUCUCAGCAGACAGAACAAGGAUAUAUGUGUAUAUACGAACUCAUAUAUAUAUAUAUCUAUAAAUGCUUAUGUAACCAUCUGAUCUCUGUAAAGCUACCGUGAGUACUGAUAUCUUCAACUGUAAUCCACUAUCACAUAAACCAUUCUAGCCUCUUCUUUUUAUUAUUUUUUGUUUGUUUUUAAAAUUUAUUUUUAGUUCAUUUUUUGUUUAUUACAUUUAUCAGUUUCUGUUCUUCCACUUCGAAAAGUAUUCUUGCUUACUUCCAAACUCCCACCCCAACAGUGAGAAAACUGGGUUGCCCCCGACCUUAUAUCCACUUAUUUAAUUGUUCAGUGCCAUUAUGCAUAUAUAGCAGUAUUAGAAUUGUUAACCAAUACUCCUCUGUGAAACAAAUGUAUUAGAGUACUGUACUUCAGAAUAGUUUCUUUUCCCAUUAGUCUUAGACUCCACUAAUUUUCAAAGUUUCUUUGAUCAAUAACUCACCCCCACCUUUUCCUUCAGUGAGGUUGUUUCAUCCAUUUGCAAUACAGUUAGAUUGUCUUGUCAUGUUCUGUAUUUCAUCCUGUAAUCCCCCAACCUCCUAAACAAUUUUUAAAAAUUUACAUACAUUCAUGUUCACUCUUUGUGUUGUAAAGUUCUAUGAGUUUCCACAAAUGCAUGGUGUCAUGUGUCCAUCAUUAUAGUAUGAAACAAAAUAGUUUUAUGGUGUAAAAAUUCCACUCUACCUCACUUAUUUAAUUCUUCCUACCUCAUGCUCCUCCCCUGUUCCUCCCCCUUAUAGUCUGGCAAUCACUUUUUAAAAAUAUUUUCUAUAGAUUUUUAAAAUGACUUAAGCUGCUAUAAAUAUUUACAUACAUCCUAAAUAUCUAGGAGUGUGAUUGCCAGAUAUUAUAGUAAGAUUACAUUUAGCUUUGUAGGAAACUGACACACUGUCUUCCAAAACGGAUGCACUAUUUUUUAUUACCACCAGCAAAGAGUGAGAGUUCCUGUCGCUCUGCAUCCUUGACAGUAAUCUGUAUUGUCAUUUCUUUUAGGAUUUUAGCCAUUGUAAUAGGUGUGCAGGGGUAUGCGUGGUUUCUGACUAGAAUUCCAAUGUAAUUCUUAUUCUUCUAUGGGUAAGGUAUUUGUCCUCUCUUCUAGGUUCUUUCAAGAUUUUCUCUUUGUCUUUGGUUUUCUGAAGUUUGAAUAUGAUAUAUCUAGUUAUACUGAAGUUUUGUUUGUUGCUUUAGUAUUUAUACUGGUUGGUGUUUUUUGAGCUUCCCAGAUCUGUGGUUUGGUGUCUAUCACUAAUUUUGGAAAGUUCUCAGACAUUACUUUACACAUUUCAUUUGCUCUCUUCUUUCUUCUUCUGGUAUUCCAAUCCAUUUGCUACACCUUUUGAGAUCUUCCACAGUUUUUGGAUAUUCUGUUAUGGAUUCUUCAUUCUUUUUAAUUUUGUUCUGUUUUACCUUUGCCUUUCGGUUUGGGAAGUUUCUAUUAUCAUGUCUUCAAGCUUAUUGAUGCUCUUCUUGGCUGUGGUUAGUCUCCUGAUAAGCCCAUCAAAAACAUUCUUCAUUUCUGUCGUAAUUUUUAAAGAUUCUAGCAUUUUCUUUUGGUUCCUUUCUAGAAUUUUCAUCUUUUUACUUACAUUGUCCAUUUUUACUUAAAAACAUUAAUCAAAAUUUUUAAUGUACAAUACAGUAUUGUUAACUGCUAAUUUUAAUGUACAAUACAGUAUUGUUAACAGCAGGCAUGAUGUGCCCACCUGUUCUUGCACGUUGUUUAAUUUUGCCAUUGGAGCCCUUAACAUUAAAUCAUAGUUAUUUUAAAUUCCCUAUCUGGUAAUUCCAAAAUCUAUGUUAUAUCUGAGUCUGGUUCUGAUGCUUGCUUUGUCUAUUCAGACUGUGUUUUUUCCUAGAAUGCUUUGUAUUAUUUUGUUGAGGAUAGAUAUAAUAUAUUGAGUGGUAGGAGCUGAGGUAAAUACUACACUUUAACUUUGAGGUUAUGUAAAUCUGGCCAGAACUUGUGCCAAGUUUAAUGUCUGUUACAGUUGUAGGUGCCAGAGGCUUUAAAUUCCUUUAUUAUCCUUAUUUUUGUUUGUUUUGUUGACUUUGGGCUUCCCUAAGUACCUCUUCUGAGGGAAAAUCUGAAUCUUGCAGUUGUUUCAGUUUUAAUCUACUGUUAUUAUACUGGAGGCCUAUUGCAGUGGUAGUAAGGUAUGAGAGAGGGAACAUAUUCUAUAAUCUGAUGAUUAAAUUUCAGUUUUUGGUGGGCCUGAGUUCCUGGGUGGUGACUGUGUUUCUUAGCCUUUUUACUUCCCUUAGGUGAGACAGUAAUGCCAGAGGGGGCUGGAGUAGGAGAAAUGCCUUGCUGCAAAUGGGCAAAUAUAUUUGUAAAUAAAUAAAUAGCUAUUAUUUGAAACAUGUUAAAUUCUUACUAAAGAUGAAUAAAUUCCCUAGCCAAUACUGAACUAUUUGAAGCUCCUCAACUGUUGUUGGCCCCUGUUUUUCAACCUUUUCCCUGUUCUUAAUAAAGGACAGAAGGGAGAGGGCAAAUUUUGGCACUACUCAGGGUUUGUUUGGUUUGGUGUUGACUCCUCUUCCUUGGUUGAGAAGUUCUGGUACAAUAAAAAGAUCAAGAGAAUGCUUUGUGUAGGUCCUAAUAUUAUCCUAGAUUAAAUCUGAAGAUAGGAUAUGUCAACUGAUAUGCCCCAAACCACAUGGUUAAUCUAUGAUGUCGUGAACUCCAAUCCAAGUUUUACAAUUCCAGAUGGGACGAUCAGCCAUCUUGGCUUGCAGGGGACUGAGGGUUUUCCUGGGACAUAGCUAAUCAAACCAGGAAGGCCCCAGGCAAAACAGGAAAUGCCAGUCACCCUCAUGGGGAAUUAAAAACCCUUACUUAAAACCAAUUUAAAAAGAUAAUAUAAGAUGAUUAAUUUUCCCCUUUGCACUUAUUAUUUGUGUGCUGAUAAUAAAACUUGCUUAGAGCAUUCCUAUAGAUGUAACAUGGCAGAUUACAGGAGGAACAGUUUGCUGGCAAACAGUUUAUACAUUACUUCAUUACUCAUAUCAGCGUCAUCUGAGAUUUCUAUCUGUCUGACUAAACUAAAUAAUAAAACAGACAGAAGCUUCUCUUUUCAUGGGAACUGCAUAAGUGCUAAGCCUAUCUGCCUACUGGCAACCUACGCUUGGGUGGGAGUUUGAUGGCAGCUCUGAGUAAAUCUUUCUCUACUUGAGAUUUUAGCACCAGAAUCAGGAGUGGGAGGAAACAGGAUGGGGCUGAAGGGAAAGAUCUUUGCAUAGCCAGACUUGGGAACAGCUCAUCCUGUCUCUACUGUAACCUCCACUGCAACUGGAUUGUGUUUUCCUGAAUGUAGUAAUGGAUUGAGGUCACUGACAUGUUCUAGCACCAAAGACUACUUAAUCAUCAAAAAGCUUAUAUUCCCAGGCACCUCAAGAGGGGUCUGGGAGUGGUAUUAAGGGUAGAGCUUCUGGCUAUCCUAAGCUGGUUAUGUGAGCCAGGUGCUCUGAUAUGGGACACCAUCAUCACCACAAUUGUGGACCUGUGUGCCCCAGUUCUUACAACUGGGAUUAAAGCCUCAAUCCCACUACCCCAGUUACAGUUAUUGUAAUCACCUUGUCUCUUAUUUUCCUCCAACCUGGGACUGAGGCAUAGUGUUUUUCCAGGCAGUUCCCUCUUCAAAGGACAAAAAUCUUGCCAGCGACCCCCACAAAAUUGCUUAGGACCCUGUGUACAAGGACUGAUACUACCUAUCACUUGUAGACUGCCGCUUGAAAUUCACCAUCUCUUUGAGACCUCGUGGUCACAGACAAUCUGCUUUAAAUCUAGUUGGAGAUGAGUCUAUCUCGUAGGCACUAUUUUGUAUCCAGCCUGCUGAAAUUGCAAUGUUUUUUUGAAACUUCCCUCCCACUCUCCUGGUCAGAAGGUCCGGUUUGUGUCAGGCUAAAUCCGGAUGGGUGCUAUAUGGGUGAAUGCACUGUCUGGGAAACUAGAGCACGGAAGAAUGAAGUGGUGUCCUGGAAUGUUGUCAAAGGUUGGUUACUUGGGCAUCAAUCCAAGGGCUUUAAUGGAGAAUCAGACCCAACAGAUGGAAGCAAAAUGGGAGCCAGGGAAUCAGGGAAUGGUGGUAAUAGGACUAGUGGAACUGCCAAAUGAGAGACAACUAGGAGGAAUUGUGGAAGGGUUGGUGAGCAGACGGGCACUGCAGAUUUAUCCUGGGAUGGCUCAGACUCAUGAGGCAUGUGGAAUUUAGUUAAAGGGGAUGUAAUGAAAUGACCACUGACCUGACCUAAUAGGCAUAUCUAUUGCCAUAUCCUGCACUUUUGUGGCAAAUAGUCCUACUGUGAGGGAAGAGCAACAUCUCCCCAGUAAUUAUAAAAUUGUGAUUCAAAUAUUCUCUUUGUAACCUGCCAAUACUCUGAUAUUUGUUUCAUCUAAAUAGAGUUCUGUUAUUGACCUUUACCUAUGCUUAUUUCAAAUCUUUAGGGAAUACCUAUUUAGAUGAAUUUUUCCUCUAAGGCUAGAUUCUGAGUAAUUACUUAAUGAUCAUGCAACUAACAUGAGAAAUACUCUAAAAUAAUAAUUCUCAUGUUAGAAAAAAAGAAAUCGAGACUGCCUUAGGCAAGAACCCCUAAUAUUUCAUGGUUUUACUUUCUGAUGUUAUGAAUAACCAUGGAAAUUUUUGCUUGAAUAUUUUCCAUGUUUGGAAAAGGAGUUUCCAACUUCUUAGGAGGUAAAGUAGCACCUCUGCUUCAUAGCCAUUAGACUUUGGGGGAGGUAUUUGUUGAUAAGAAAAUUUUUUACUGAAAGAUCAUAUAUCUUGUGGCAACCUCUGUUCAGCUGGAAAUAUUACAAGGGUGUGUCCCUGGGGUGUGUGUUUGUGGGGGAGAAAGUUUGGCUGAAGGCUUUUCCCCAGCGAGCCAUCAUUUCAGGGACUAAUCUCUACCACUUCGGAGAGAAUAUUCUGCUUAUGUGGUCCCUGUUAUUUUGAAAAAAUGCCUCCGGGAGUCUCUGCUGCACCAGAGGAAGGAAGCUCUGAUACGACACCUUCAUUUAUUGUUUCGAACUUUGCUAAAAAGUACCAAAGCACGGCUGGGCGCGUUGGCUCACGCCUGUAACCCCAGCACUUUGGUAGGCUGAGGCGGGCAGAUCACGAGGUCAGGAGUUUGAGAUCAGCCUGGCUAACAUGGUGAAACCUGGUCUCUGCUAAAGAUAACAAAAAAUUAGCUGAGUGUGGUGGUGCGUGCCUGUAAUCCCAGCUACUCAGGAGGCUGAGGCAGGAGAAUUGCUUGAACCCAGGAGGCAGAGGUUGCAGUGAGUCGAGAUUACGCCACUGCACUCCAGCCUGGGUGACAGGGCGAGACUCUGUCCCAAACAAACAACAAAAACAACAACAACAACAACAACAACAAAAAUUACCAAAGCACAGCUUUUCAAAGCUCUCUCAUUCAGGAACCCAUUUCAUUGAAAUUAAAAAAUGUUCUGAGAUGCAGUUAAUGUGUGUUUGCCCUUGUAGGACCAACAUAAAUCUAAGUCUUUUAUGUGAAGAGAUUCAGGUCCUUAUAACUCACUUGGGGAAUAUGACAAAUGGGAUGGUGUGUGUGAAUGUUGUUUUGAUGGCUUAAGGGUGAUGAUCAUAUCUGGACACUUCUGAGAACUGUUGUUAUGGCUCAAUACCUUGCCUCCCUUCCUGUCAUUUUUAUCUAUUUUUAUAAACAAAUAAAAUAAUUAUUAAGAAAAAGGAACUUAAUGAAACCUUUCGUCUUAAAAUACAUUAUCCCAUAACUAAGAGUUAAUAGAAUGAAUCUAAUCAGUCAGUUUGAAAGAGAGCUAACAUCCCCUAUAAAGAUUAUGCUAUUGGACACUUACAUGGUGUUUACUUUGAGACUGGUGCUGGUUUGAGCACUUUACAUAUGUUUACUCAUCUAAUUUUUAUAACAGUCAUUGAAGUAGUUGCUCUUAUUAUUCUAAUUUCACAGAUGAGGGAACUGAGGCUUGGAGGAGUUAAGCAAGGUUGGUGGUUGCACACACACAGCUGACACCAACUCACGGAGUCUUACUCUAUAACCCUUUUAGGCAGUGUUAGAGGAACAAAAUUGUUAUUUGAUCACAAUGAGCUCAGGCCUUGAUACAGUUUUCUGGUUUGUGUAAAUCAACUCUGCAUUUUCUCUGCACAUUUAAAGUCAGACGAUCAACCUUGGACAGGUUGUCUGUUAAAAGCCACACCAAUGGGAAUCAUUAAAACAAAUGACAUUUAGGAGGAUUACAUUUACUGACUAAAUAUGCUUGGGCCUUAAUAGCGCCAGUUUUGUUUAGUUCCCAUCAACUUCUUGAUCACGUGGAUGUGCUUUUGUCAACCAUUUUUGCACUUAUUUUCCUCAGUGACUCUGAUGACCUCUUCUCUUCGUUAAUCAGCUUCUCAUAUUCUCAUGACCUUACCAGAGUGCUGAUGCUUGCAGCUGCAAUAACAGAAUGUGCUUCUAAAUUAUAAUUCUCCCAACCCUGGACUCUGAAUCUUCUCUUUUUCCUGUCAACAGUUGGUCCCCUCUACAAAGGCCCUGCUGUUUAUUCUUCACUGGCACAUGCCCUCUGCCACCUGAAAUCUGUUGCUGGCCUUCUCACACUCUCUUUUCUUCUUUUAACUUCAAGGUCUUUCUAAUUUGUCCUUUCUGCCUGUCCUUUGUUAUUACUUAUCACAUCUCUCCUGGUCACCUUCACCCCUUCUUUGUUUGGGCCUCCUUCUUUAUUUCUGGGUAUCUCUUUCUUUCUAUCAGACUCUGACCUUCUUCAUGUAUUAUAUUUAAGAACUAAUCUUCCACCUUUUCUUUUGUUAAAGUAAUUCUUAACCUUUUUUUAAAAUCCCAUUCACUAAAAUAAGCUCAUGAGUAUUAAUGUUUACAUUAGGCCUUCCCUUCUCUGUCCCUUCUCUUCAAAAUACCCAGCCUACUUAGAAGGGAGACAUUUCCAAUAUAAUAAAAACAAUAGCUAACAUUAUCUGUGCCAGAUGUAGAAGUCCACAAUAGUCUUUACGACUUUGUCACAAGCAUCAUUAUUAUCUUCACAUUACAGAUGAGAAAGCUGAGGACCAGAGAGGGAAAGUAACUUCCUCAAGUCACACAAGAUAGUUAAGUGGUGGAGCUAGGUUCUGAAUGUGGAUAUGGUGAUUCCAAAGUCUGUGAUCUUAACCCCUGCACUUUACUGCUCUUUAAAGAGAGUAAUCUGACUACAUAGCCUCUGUCAUUUCAUUGCAAUAAAUAUUUGAGUCUCUGCAUCACUUAAGUAGAUUGAUCAGUAUUGCCAAGUAUGGAAUUCUCUGCUUCUAAAAAAUGAAGAGGCCUCUCAGCCAGUUUAGUUUAUGAUAGUUUAUGUGCAAUAUAGUAACUUGUCCUUUAUUUUGAAGGAAAUGUCCCAAUGUGCCUGAGACCAGUGAACUCCAAAGAACUUCAUGGGUAUAGCAGGCUCUAAUAUCCUUAUAAUGUUUAUUUCCCUCACUCUGGGGAGUAUGUUUCUUAUUAAGACAUCUAGAGUACUUGCCACUUUUUACUCAUUGGGUCCAAUUUACAUGAUGUCAUCAAUAGAGUAUAUUCAUGUGAUUUUCUGCAGAGUGUACAGAUUGUUCAUGCCCCUUCAUAUUGUGAUAGAGGACAUAGUUCUGCCUCAAUAACGUUAAUAUUUACUUUAUUUACUUGUCCACAUCAAGUGAAUGCAAAGUGCUUCUGAUCUCCUUUCCUAAUGGAUAUUGACUAGAACACAUUUACUAAAUCAAUAGGCACGUGUGACAUCCCUGGGACUUCAUUCACAUGCUUUAGUAAAAACACCAGAUCUGGUACAGAAGCUGUAACUGGGACUAGUGCUGGUUAUGUUUGUGUUAGUCCACUGUCAUCUAUCAGGAUCCACCUGGUUUUUCCAAAAGCCAAACUAAUGAAUUAAAUGUGUAUAAACAGGGACCACCAUUUCUCAGUCCUUUAAGCCUUUAACUAUGGCAGUAGCCCAUUCUCCUCAGAUUUUUUUUGUAUUCACUACCUCAACUAAAUGGCUUCUGAUAUCAAACACUCAGAGAGUCUCUCUGUAUUUUAAUGGAAAAUUGCUUAAGUAUUAAAUUAAUAUUUAAAGACUGAGCAAAAGAUGUGAUAUUAAUCCAUUCUUUAAACAAAUUGUUUUUCUAUACCUAUUAAAGCCUAGUGAAGAAUUUUAAGAAUUAACCAUACUUAGAGGUGAGAGAUCAAUGAAAAACAUAAGAAGAUAUAAAGAGAGAUCAGGCAAAUGAAAAUAUGGUGAAGAGCUUUAAAAGUCAAGAGGAAGUCUGCAAGCAGCAUCCAGGAGUUGCUGGAGGGCCUUGAUAAGGAAAUAUAUUACCAUUACUACUACGAUUAUAGUAAUGUUUAACAUUAAUGAGCGCUUAUUAUGGGCUAGGCACUUUAUUUACAUUUUCUCAAUCUUUACUUAAUCCGAUAAAUUGAAUUCCAUUGCAGAUCUCAUUUUACAGCCAAGAAUACUGAAGUUAAGAAAUGUUAAGUAACUUACUCUAAUUUAAAUCUGGUUACUGGUGCUAAUGUGGUUCAAAUGCUCUAAAUUGAGAGCUAUUACCCCAUGCUCACCACAUCUCUAUUGGUAGUAGUGAUGUGUUCUGCUGGAGACUGUAGCAGUCUAAGUCUGUGGUGACUGGAGUGGGAGGGUAGGUCAUUAAACGGGGGAGGAAGAAAGAUGCAGGAAUACAUGUUAAUACAGCCCCUUGAAUGCCGGGGGUAUUAGGCAAUCAGCCUCCACCUGAAGAUUAUAAAUGAGGAGUGAAUAAUUUUAGCGUUGAACCUGCUGAAGAAGAUAAGGGCAUAAGAGGAAUUUGGUUACUAGAAUUCCCAUGUCCUACAAAGGGUUGUCAACAUAACAAUACUUUGUACACUUUGUAGAUAUGAUGCAAAGAAAUAAAAGGCAUUUAUGAGGAUAGCCUCUUGAGAAGGCAGAGAAGGCUUAUUACCAUCUCUUUUUUCUGUUAGAUAUAUUAUAAUCCCUCUGUUCCUUGCCCAAGCUACAAAUUAAUCAUCUAAUAGGGUUUUAACUUAACGUUUACUUGUUCAACAACAAUGUACCAUUUUUCUUUUGAAAUAGGGAUGGUUGAGGUGGUGUUUAAAUGCAAACACACUGGUUAAAAAUGUGGUUUUCACAUAAUAUCAACAUAUACUACUGUUUGCUUUUUUAAAAGUAAUUUUAAGAAGGCUACAUUAAAUAACAAUGGAAAUUAAAUAUAUUACCCACAAACACCAUACAAUACAUUGCUUAAUAUUUUACUUCCUCCCAGUUCUUGUUAAUAUGUACAUUAUUUCUACGUAAUUAUAAUCAAAGCAGAAAUAUAAUUUUGUUUUCUUUUUUCCAUCAUCCUAUGAGCAAUUUUCCAUAUAGCUAUUUAGUUUUUUAAAUUAACAUUUUAAUGGCUGUAUUAACUCCAUAGAGUUACUGUAGCAAAAUGCAUUUAACCAUUUUCAUAUUGAACAUUUAGUUUUUUCUAAUUUAAAAAAAUUUUUUAAUUUUGGUGGGUAUGUAGUAGGUGUAUAUAUUUAUAGGGUACAUGAGAUAUUUUGAUACAGGCAUGCAAUGCGUAAUAGUCACAUCAGGGUAAAUGGGGUAUCCAUUACCUCAAGCAUUUAGCCUUUGUGUUAGAAAUAAUCCAAUUAUACUCUUUUAGUUAUUUAAAAAUGUAUAGUUAAAUAAAUUAUUAUUGACUGUAGUCACCCUGUUGUGCUACCAAAUACUAGUUCUUAUUCAUUCUAACUAUUUUUUGUACCCAAUAACCACCCCACUUCCUCCCCACCCACUAAUACCCUUCCUAGCCUCUGGGAACGAUCCUUCCACUCUUUAUCUUCAUGAGUUCAAUUGUUUUAAUUUUUAGCUCCCACAAAUAAGUGAGAACAUGUGAGGUUUGUCUUUCUGUGCCUGGUUUAUUUAACUUAACAUAAUGGUCUCCAGUUCCAUCUAUGUUGUGACAAAUGACUGGCUCUCAUUCUUUUUAUGGCUGAAUAGCACUCCAUUGUGUAUAGGUACCAUAUUUUCUUUCUCCAUUCUUCUGUUGAUGGACACUUAAGUUGCUUCCAAAUCUUGGCAAUUGUGAACAGUGCUGCAGUGAACCUGGGAGUGCAGUUAUCUCUUCAUUAUACUGAUUUCUUUUCUUUGGGGGUAUAUAUCUAGCAGUGGGAUUGCUGGAUCAUAUAGUAGCUUUAUUUUUAAUUUUUUGAGGAACCUUCCAACUGUUCUCCAUAGUGGUUGUACUAAUGUACAUUCCCAUUAAUAGUGUCCAAGGGUUCCCUUUUCUCCACAUUCUCAUCAGCAUUUGUUAUUGCCAGUCUUUUGGAUAUAAGCCAUUUUAACUGAGGUGAGAUGAUAUCUCAUUUUAGUUUUGAUUUCCAUUUCUCUGAUGAUCGAUGAUGUUGAGCAUCUUUUCCUAUGCCUGUUUGUCAUUUGUAGGUCUUCUUUUGAGAUAUGUCUAUUCAGAUUUUUUGCCCAUUUUUUAAGUUGGAUUAUUAGAUUUUUUUCCAUAGAGUUUGAGCUCCUUAUAUAUUCUGGUUAUUAAUCCCUUGUCAUAUGGGUAGAUUGCAAAUAUUUUCUCCCAGUCUUUACUUUGUUGAUUGUAUCCUUUGCUGUGAAGAUUUUUUUUUCUUUCUUUUCUUUUUUUUUUUGAGACGGAGUCUCACUCUGCUGCCCAGGCUGGAGUGCAGUGGCGUGAUCUCGGCUCGCUGCAAGCUCC
RNAcentral lists this long non-coding RNA (11841 nucleotides) under Homo sapiens (human). RNAcentral describes it as "non-protein coding LINC01708:19". The record is from RNAcentral. Lineage: Eukaryota; Metazoa; Chordata; Mammalia; Primates; Hominidae.